RNAcentral lists this ribosomal RNA (793 nucleotides) under uncultured bacterium. RNAcentral's name for it is "bacterial SSU rRNA". It matches the Rfam family "Bacterial small subunit ribosomal RNA", at positions 8 to 819 of the family's 1533-position model. The record is from RNAcentral.
AGAGUUUGAUCAUGGCUCAGAACGAACGCUGGCGGCGUGCUUAACACAUGCAAGUCGAGUGCGCGGUUGUAGCAAUACAACUGGCGCACGGCGCACGGGUGCGUAACACGUGGGUAACCUGCCCUUUGGUGGGGAAUAACUCCGCGAAAGCGGAGCUAAUUCCGCAUAAGAUCCGCAAGGAUGAAAGCCGCAAGGCGCCGAUGGAGGGGCCCGCGCCCGAUUAGCUAGUUGGUAGGGUAAUGGCCUACCAAGGCUUUGAUCGGUAGCUGGUCUGAGAGGAUGAUCAGCCACACUGGAACUGAGACACGGUCCAGACUCCUACGGGAGGCAGCAGUGGGGAAUCUUGCACAAUGGGCGAAAGCCUGACGCAGCGACGCCGCGUGGGGGAUGAAGCAUUUCGGUGUGUAAACCCCUUUCGAUCCGGACGAAACCCCGCAAGGGAUUGACGGUACGGAGGAAAGAAGCCCCGGCUAACUACGUGCCAGCAGCCGCGGUAAGACGUAGGGGGCCAGCGUUGUUCGGAAUUACUGGGUGUAAAGGGUUCGUAGGCGGUGCGGCAAGUUGGGAGUGAAAUCUCUGGGCUUAACCCAGAGGCUGCUUCCAAAACUGCUGUGCUUGAGUGUGGGAGAGGCGCGUGGAAUUGCAGGUGUAGCGGUGAAAUGCGUAGAUAUCUGCAGGAACACCCGUGGCGAAAGCGGCGCGCUGGACCACUACUGACGCUGAGGAACGAAAGCUAGGGGAGCAAACAGGAUUAGAUACCCUGGUAGUCCUAGCCCUAAACGAUCAGGACUUG